RNAcentral lists this ribosomal RNA (735 nucleotides) under uncultured Staphylococcus sp. RNAcentral's name for it is "bacterial SSU rRNA". It matches the Rfam family "Bacterial small subunit ribosomal RNA", at positions 60 to 777 of the family's 1533-position model. The record is from RNAcentral. Lineage: Bacteria; Bacillati; Bacillota; Bacilli; Caryophanales; Staphylococcaceae.
AGUCGAGCGAACAGACGAGGAGCUUGCUCCUCCGACGUUAGCGGCGGACGGGUGAGUAACACGUGGAUAACCUACCUAUAAGACUGGGAUAACUUCGGGAAACCGGAGCUAAUACCGGAUAAUAUAUUGAACCGCAUGGUUCAAUAGUGAAAGACGGUUUUGCUGUCACUUAUAGAUGGAUCCGCGCCGCAUUAGCUAGUUGGUAAGGUAACGGCUUACCAAGGCAACGAUGCGUAGCCGACCUGAGAGGGUGAUCGGCCACACUGGAACUGAGACACGGUCCAGACUCCUACGGGAGGCAGCAGUAGGGAAUCUUCCGCAAUGGGCGAAAGCUUGACGGAGCAACGCCGCGUGAGUGAUGAAGGUCUUCGGAUCGUAAAACUCUGUUAUUAGGGAAGAACAAAUGUGUAAGUAACUAUGCACGUCUUGACGGUACCUAAUCAGAAAGCCACGGCUAACUACGUGCCAGCAGCCGCGGUAAUACGUAGGUGGCAAGCGUUAUCCGGAAUUAUUGGGCGUAAAGCGCGCGUAGGCGGUUUUUUAAGUCUGAUGUGAAAGCCCACGGCUCAACCGUGGAGGGUCAUUGGAAACUGGAAAACUUGAGUGCAGAAGAGGAAAGUGGAAUUCCAUGUGUAGCGGUGAAAUGCGCAGAGAUAUGGAGGAACACCAGUGGCGAAGGCGACUUUCUGGUCAGUAACUGACGCUGAUGUGCGAAAGCGUGGGGAUCAAACAGGA